CACAGAUACAGUUUCCUCACAAAAAGAUUUCUCAUCACUCUUUCCACAUGACAAAAACCAGUAUCAAAGGCAACAGCAUUGUCUGUGAAAGCUUUAAUAAAACCACGUUUGUUUUUCUGGCGAAAGAGGCGCAAGAUGAAUGCUUCUUGACAAGACUCGAUUAUUCUGUGGGCUCUAUACACCAAGAUGCCUGAGGGGGAGAAACGUAAUUUAAACUACAGAACAGGAACAUCGUAACACCAACAGGCAGAGAUCACAGAGAUCAUAGAAUGCUGACUAUGUGCCAUGCUACCAAGUAUUUUACAUAUAAGCAUUUCAUUUCACCCUGACAAUCCUAGGAGGAAGGUACUAUCUUUAUCACCAAUGUACGGGUGAGUAAGCUGAGGCAUAGAGAAAUUAAGAAACUUGCCUAAAAAUACACAGCUGGUGCAAGAUGAAGAUAACU
RNAcentral lists this long non-coding RNA (445 nucleotides) under Pan troglodytes (chimpanzee). Its description in RNAcentral is "long non-coding RNA NONPTRT006221". The record is from RNAcentral. Lineage: Eukaryota; Metazoa; Chordata; Mammalia; Primates; Hominidae.